RNAcentral lists this ribosomal RNA (253 nucleotides) under uncultured bacterium. RNAcentral describes it as "partial 16S ribosomal RNA". It matches the Rfam family "Bacterial small subunit ribosomal RNA", at positions 524 to 776 of the family's 1533-position model. The record is from RNAcentral.
UACGUAGGGGGCAAGCGUUGUCCGGAAUUAUUGGGCGUAAAGAGCGUGUAGGCGGUCCGGUAAGUCAGCUGUGAAAGUCAAGGGCUCAACCCUUGAAUGCCGGUUGAUACUGUCGGGCUAGAGUCCGGAAGAGGCGAGUGGAAUUCCCGGUGUAGCGGUGAAAUGCGUAGAUAUCGGAAGGAACACCAGUGGCGAAAGCGGCUUCCUGGUCCAGCACCGACGUUCAGGCACGAAAGCGUGGGGAGCAAACAGG